GACUGAAAAUGCAAUGUGUUUUCCUGAGCGAAGUAAAGGUUCUGCUGCUUCUAUUGCUGUCGUACUAUUUACAUCCCAAGGAAAAAAAUCAUU
Molecule: long non-coding RNA, 93 nt
Organism: Nothoprocta perdicaria
Lineage: Eukaryota; Metazoa; Chordata; Aves; Tinamiformes; Tinamidae
Exons: 2
Source: RefSeq, a predicted model, not a curated record